GUGACGUCAUUAGGGUGGGCCCGAAUCCAACAGGACUGUUGCCCGAUAAAAGGGGCAGAUUUGUAACAGACACACACACAGGGGGAAGCCCACGUGAGGAUGAAGGCAGAGAUCGGUGUGGUGCAUCUACAAGCCAAGGAAUGCCAAAGAUUGCCAGCAAACCACCAGAAGGAGAAAGGCAUGAAAAAGACUCUCCCUCACAGCCCUGAGAAGGAACCAACCCUGCCAACGCCUUGAUCUUCGACUUCUAUCCUCUGUAUCUGUGAGAGAAGAAAUUUCAGCCAGCACUCUUCUGUCAUUCCAGAACUUCUACGACCAGCAAUGAGGAAAGAGAAAUUGAUUUGUUUUGUCAUGGGCAGAACAUCUGACCUGCAGGACUAGACUAAACUCAAGAAAUUUCAGGUAAAAUGUGCUGAGCCUUCUUAGGAAAAUUCUAUUAGAUCAGACCUAAACUUGAAAGGUUUAAAUUGACCCUAUGACCAAGCCCUCUGGAAGCUGGGAAAGUAGCACAGCAGUGCCUAGAAAAAACCAUGGCCAGAGAUCAGAAUUUAAAUUUGCGUCCCCAGUAAGAUUUUAUUCCUUCUAGUAGACACAAUUUUAGAGCAUGAAUGAGGUGAAGUUUCCAGCUGACAUGUGUGAGUUUCUCCUUCCGGAAAAAAGGGGGGACAAAACAAAAUAUGACCAGGAGACUGGCAGAUGAAGGUCCCAGCCUCCGUGCUCUAUGCCUGCAGGAAGCCCCGCGUUUCCCUGCAUUUCUGCCAAAGCAUCUCUACUCACAGCCAAAGAGUGGGUACCCCUCCUCGGAGAUCUUCCUCCAUCUUCCCCACCCCCUGUCAGCAUGACGGCUGAGUAGUCAGCCCUGAACUCACCUAGUGGCACCUCACUCUGCCCUCUCUGGGCUGGCAUCCAUUGGGCUGCCGCUACGUGAAACCUGGGCACAUGCCGGACCCUCCAUCUCCCACAGCUCAGCAAAUUCCAAGCUGGGCCACUAUGCAAAACUUGACUGUAAAGCAGUUGAGAGUGACAAUGCAGAAAAAAAGAAGAUUUGACACAGGUUCCUAGGUAUGUCUGCUCUGCAAUGCCGGGGCCUGGAAUCAGGUGCUGUGCGUCCUGGAGAAACACCCCUGGACAACAUGGCCCUGGAGUAGCCAUAAAAAUGUACUUCCCAGUCCCUUCACUGCAGGGAAUGUGGUUACCAGGAGCCCAAGGUGCCGUGCUCUGAAAUCCAUCACCUCAUUUGUCUCAUGGUUGUACUUCUCAUAGACUAAUCCCCCACAGUGACAAUGUUUGAGUGUGGCAGUGAUACGAGGAAAGGUGAAUGCCUGGGAGACAGAAGACUUCGCUGACGAUCACCUUUGGCUUGAAGACUCCCAAACUGCCUUUCCCAAUCUUCCUAUUCCCAUCCUCUCUCUUUCACUCAAAGUCAGACUUGCUUUCAGCUCAGGUGGGUCUCCUAGCCUCACCCAGAUCCUGCCCCAUAUUCCCUCACACAGGUAUUCCUCCUAACGCAAUCCUUUUCCAUUUAAUCACAUCUGGUCUGCUUCUCCAAGGAUCCAUCUUGGAGUCUCCUUAUCAGGGAAUCCAAACGAACCCGGUAUCCUUUUAUUUAAGCUUUUCCAUCCAAGAAGGCAUGCCUGUUUUUUCAAAGUAGGAGCUGUUUUUCAUCAAAUGAGAAGUUAAGGCUCCACCAACUCAGGAAGAGGGGAAAAAAAUGCCUGUAUCUUUCAAACGGCUCUUUUUUCUCCCUUCUAGGGCCGUGACUGUUUUAGAUAUUAUUAGGGUCCAGUUUCAGUGAAAGCAUAAGCCACCCAAUGUAUUGUUAUAUCUUCACAGUCAGAAGGGAUGUCUGCCUGUGUAUAAUGGAUGUAUGUAACUCUUUUUGGAUCCUCUUCAGGACAAAAAGGGAAAAAGAUAGAUCCAAUUCACGGACAUCCCAGUUCAUGUGGCAGCAGGUGGGAUUCUUACUGGCUGAGAGUGGUUCUUAAAACAACGCCCAGUGAUUAAAACCCACAGCUGAGGUGCAGAAGGCCCCCAGGAAUUGAACUCACAACUCAUUCAGUGCCGAUAGUAGGCUGGGAUGGUGGCUUCAGGGGCCUGGAGACCAGCCAGGGGAAUCUCUUCUGGAAGGGGCAGCCCCAAGUGCCCAUCCAGGCAUGGAUGGGUCUGAGAGAGUCUGAGGUCUCAGUCCAUUCAGGGCUUCUCAAGAAGAAAGCGGGGUGCAUCUUGAAGCCCACAAAGGCCUGUGAGGUCCCUGUGAGAAGCAGAACUUGCUGAAGUAUGUGGUCCCUGCUGCCCAGUCCUGUGCAGGGAAAACAAAAUCUGCAUAUGCGUGUGUGUGUGUGUGUGUGUGUGUGUGUGUGUGUAUUGGUCCUCAAUUGCUAUCAAAGAGGUCUUGUCUGCAACCACUGUCAGGGACUUAUGGACAGAUAGCUCAAUUAUGCUAGUAAUGAGUGAGGGUGACUUGAGAAUGACAAUGCAAUGGGCUUGAGGAUUGUGUUUAUCUGUAACUUCAACCCUCUCACUUUAUUAAUAAAAACCCGUGUUACUUCAUUUUAUACCAGAAGGCUCAUGACUUUAAAAUUGGAGUAGAUCACAUUUGCAGAUGACUUCAUCAUGGUCUGCCCAAGGUAGAAAUCUCA
Molecule: long non-coding RNA, 2639 nt
Organism: Equus asinus (donkey)
Lineage: Eukaryota; Metazoa; Chordata; Mammalia; Perissodactyla; Equidae
Source: Ensembl